This 461-nucleotide ribosomal RNA is filed under the name uncultured bacterium. RNAcentral's name for it is "bacterial SSU rRNA". It matches the Rfam family "Bacterial small subunit ribosomal RNA", at positions 339 to 797 of the family's 1533-position model. The record is from RNAcentral.
AUACGGGAGGCAGCAGUGGGGAAUAUUGGUCAAUGGACGCAAGUCUGAACCAGCCAUGCCGCGUGCAGGAUGACGGUCCUAUGGAUUGUAAACUGCUUUUGUACGAGAAGAAACACUCCAACGUGUUGGAGCUUGACGGUAUCGUAAGAAUAAGGAUCGGCUAACUCCGUGCCAGCAGCCGCGGUAAUACGGAGGAUCCAAGCGUUAUCCGGAAUCAUUGGGUUUAAAGGGUCCGUAGGCGGUCAGAUAAGUCAGUGGUGAAAGCCCAUCGCUCAACGGUGGAACGGCCAUUGAUACUGUCUGACUUGAAUUAUUAGGAAGUAACUAGAAUAUGUAGUGUAGCGGUGAAAUGCUUAGAGAUUACAUGGAAUACCAAUUGCGAAGGCAGGUUACUACUAAUGGAUUGACGCUGAUGGACGAAAGCGUGGGUAGCGAACAGGAUUAGAUACCCCAGUAGUCGU